This 375-nucleotide ribosomal RNA is filed under the name uncultured organism. RNAcentral's name for it is "partial 16S ribosomal RNA". It matches the Rfam family "Bacterial small subunit ribosomal RNA", at positions 527 to 896 of the family's 1533-position model. The record is from RNAcentral.
GUAGGUGGCAAGCGUUGUCCGGGAAUUAUUGGGGCGUAAAGCGCGCGCAGGCGGUUCUUUAAGUCUGAUGUGAAAGCCCACGGGCUCAACCGUGGAGGGUCAUUGGAAACUGGAGAACUUGAGUACAGAAGAGGAAAGCGGAAUUCCACGUGUAGCGGUGAGAUGCGUAGAGAUGUGGAGGAACACCAGUGGCGAAGGCGGCUUUCUGGUCUGUAACUGACGCUGAGGCGCGAAAGCGUGGGGAGCAAACAGGAUUAGAUACCCUGGUAGUCCACGCCGUAAACGAUGAGUGCUAAGUGUUAGGGGGUUUCCGCCCCUUAGUGCUGCAGCUAACGCAUUAAGCACUCCGCCUGGGGAGUACGGCCGCAAAGGCUG